RNAcentral lists this non-coding RNA (48 nucleotides) under Trichobilharzia regenti. The record is from RNAcentral. Lineage: Eukaryota; Metazoa; Platyhelminthes; Trematoda; Strigeidida; Schistosomatidae.
AUUCAGCAGACGAGUCCCAAACAGGCCGAAAUGGUCGUCAUUCUGGAU